UGGGGAAUAUUGGACAAUGGGCGAAAGCCUGAUCCAGCCAUGCCGCGUGUGUGAAGAAGGUCUUCGGAUUGUAAAGCACUUUAAGUUGGGAGGAAGGGCAGUAAGCGAAUACCUUGCUGUUUUGACGUUACCGACAGAAUAAGCACCGGCUAACUCUGUGCCAGCAGCCGCGGUAAUACAGAGGGUGCAAGCGUUAAUCGGAAUUACUGGGCGUAAAGCGCGCGUAGGUGGUUCGUUAAGUUGAAUGUGAAAGCCCCGGGCUCAACCUGGGAACUGCCUCCAAAACUGGCGAGCUAGAGUAGGGCAGAGGGUGGUGGAAUUUCCUGUGUAGCGGUGAAAAGCGUAGAUAUAGGAAGGAACACCAGUGGCGAAGGCGACCACCAGGGCUCAUACUGACAAUGAGGUGCGAAAGCGUGGGGAGCAAACAGG
This 429-nucleotide ribosomal RNA is filed under the name Pseudomonadota bacterium. RNAcentral's name for it is "Proteobacteria bacterium partial 16S ribosomal RNA". It matches the Rfam family "Bacterial small subunit ribosomal RNA", at positions 355 to 776 of the family's 1533-position model. The record is from RNAcentral. Lineage: Bacteria; Pseudomonadati; Pseudomonadota.